This is a long non-coding RNA of Myodes glareolus (Bank vole), 1270 nucleotides long. RefSeq lists it as uncharacterized. Lineage: Eukaryota; Metazoa; Chordata; Mammalia; Rodentia; Cricetidae. The record is from RefSeq and is a predicted model, not a curated record.
CAGUCCGCGUCGGAUUGCACACCUCAGACCUUGGACGGCCACAUUCAACUUGUGCUCUCCUUUAUAUACGGCUUGGAUCCUUUACUCCAAAAAUGGUCCCGCCCACAAUAACGAUGGGUCUUCCCCCAUCGGUUAACUCGAGAUAAUACCUCACAGACAUUCUCAACGGUUCACCUUAAUCCAGACAGUAUCUAUAUGUAUGCACAGAGUCCAGUCUCCUACGUGUCAUGCUAACGAUGCCAUCACAACUGGAAAAGGGGAGUGCAUGACAGUUAUUAUCUUCACAUCGACUGUGUUUCAGCACAGCUGUGUGUGUACACGCUUUAUUGUUAACCCGCUCCGGAGCUCAACACACGGUAGAGCAAAAGCGGCGCCAAGGCUUCCAGAAAUUUGACUUUUGAAGAAAGAAGCCAUCAAAACAGUUGGCAGCUUGACUAUGCCUUUUGCUCCAUGGAAAAGAAACGAUGUGGAUGAACAGAGUGUGGCCCACCUUCCCUCCACUUUCCUUGUGUGCAGCAGCUCCAAACAGAUGAAGAAAUAAAAUCUGGGCAAACGUAAUAAAGAGGUCAGGAAAAUUGGAGGAGGCCAGAUGGCCUGUUGCUCAAACUAAGAACACAGGGUUCCUGGGGAGCCGCCCGUUAGCACGGAAAGAAAUAUUUCCUCCAAUCCUGUUUUGAAACUGGCACCUUCCCCAUCUCGUCUCAGCCUAAGACUACCUUUUACAAGGAGACUUUCGGGAUCAGCAUUUUCAAGGAGACCUUCCAUUCCUCCCGCUGCCCAGUUACGCUUCAUUGUGCUGCCUUGUUGUGUUCCAUCUGUUGCUUACUGCAUUGAUAUCAUUUCACUGCUGUGUGUUUGCUUCAUUGUCAGCUGUAUGUCUGCUCUAAGACUUCAGGAGGGUGAAGAACUUGGGAGCCAUCAUCAAGAACUUUCCAUAGGCACCCUUAGCACUGUCUGGCACAAACUAUCUGUGUGCCGUAAUACAAGAGUCAACAAAUCAUGCUUUGCAAGGCUGUUAAAGCUCAUAAAUUAGGGAGGACAUUUUCAACCUGACUUACUCUUACCCUAUAUAUAACCUUACGAAAUUUUAACCUCUGGGUCGAUGAGAUGGUUCAUUGAGUUAUGGUGCUUGCCAACAUGCCAGACAAUGCAAAUUUGAUCCCCCAAACCCACAUAAUGGAAGAAGAUAAAUGACGUCAACGAUUUUCCUCUGGCCUCACCAUACCCACUGUGGCACAUAUGCCCUCAUGCACACCCUCAUGCGUGCACA